AACGAACGCUGGCGGCAUGCCUAACACAUGCAAGUCGAACGGGAUCCUGGUUUCGGCCAGGUGAGAGUGGCGGACGGGUGAGUAACGCGUGGGAACCUGCCCAGUGGUGGGGGAUAACUGCGGGAAACUGCAGCUAAUACCGCAUGAGCCCGAAAGGGGAAAGAUUGAUCGCCAUUGGAGGGGCCCGCGUUCGAUUAGGUAGUUGGUGAGGUAACGGCUCACCAAGCCUUCGAUCGANAGCUGGUCUGAGAGGAUGAUCAGCCACACUGGGACUGAGAUACGGCCCAGACUCCUACGGGAGGCAGCAGUGGGGAAUAUUGCGCAAUGGGCGAAAGCCUGACGCAGCGACGCCGCGUGGGGAUGAAGGUCUUCGGAUUGUAAACCCCUUUCGGGAGGGAAGAUGGAAUGGGGUAACCCAUUCGACGUACCUCCAGAAGCAGCCACGGCUAACUUCGUGCCAGCAGCCGCCG
This 470-nucleotide ribosomal RNA is filed under the name uncultured bacterium. RNAcentral describes it as "bacterial SSU rRNA". It matches the Rfam family "Bacterial small subunit ribosomal RNA", at positions 29 to 520 of the family's 1533-position model. The record is from RNAcentral.